Molecule: ribosomal RNA, 767 nt
Filed under: uncultured bacterium
Lineage: Bacteria
Description: bacterial SSU rRNA
Rfam family: Bacterial small subunit ribosomal RNA
Source: RNAcentral
GACGAACUCUGGCGGCGCGCCUAACACAUGCAAGUCGAACGAGAGAUGAGGAGCUUGCUCUUCAAAUCGAGUGGCGAACGGGUGAGUAACGCGUGAGGAACCUGCCUCAAAGAGGGGGACAACAGUUGGAAACGACUGCUAAUACCGCAUAAGCCCACGGCUCGGCAUCGAGCAGAGGGAAAAGGAGCAAUCCGCUUUGAGAUGGCCUCGCGUCCGAUUAGCUAGUUGGUGAGGUAACGGCCCACCAAGGCGACGAUCGGUAGCCGGACUGAGAGGUUGAACGGCCACAUUGGGACUGAGACACGGCCCAGACUCCUACGGGAGGCAGCAGUGGGGAAUAUUGCACAAUGGGGGAAACCCUGAUGCAGCGACGCCGCGUGGAGGAAGAAGGUCUUCGGAUUGUAAACUCCUGUUGUUGAGGAAGAUAAUGACGGUACUCAACAAGGAAGUGACGGCUAACUACGUGCCAGCAGCCGCGGUAAAACGUAGGUCACAAGCGUUGUCCGGAAUUACUGGGUGUAAAGGGAGCGCAGGCGGGAGAACAAGUUGGAAGUGAAAUCCAUGGGCUCAACCCAUGAACUGCUUUCAAAACUGUUUUUCUUGAGUAGUGCAGAGGUAGGCGGAAUUCCCGGUGUAGCGGUGGAAUGCGUAGAUAUCGGGAGGAACACCAGUGGCGAAGGCGGCCUACUGGGCACCAACUGACGCUGAGGCUCGAAAGUGUGGGUAGCAAACAAGAUUAGAUACCCUGGUAGUCCACACCGUAAACG